ACCCAGGUUUUUUUUAAAACCACUUUAAGAUAUGAUUGAGAUAUG
Bos taurus (domestic cattle) is the source of this 45-nucleotide non-coding RNA. NCBI's taxonomy places the organism in Eukaryota, Metazoa, Chordata, Mammalia, Artiodactyla, Bovidae. The record is from Rfam.